This is a small nucleolar RNA of Ailuropoda melanoleuca (giant panda), 129 nucleotides long. Ensembl annotates it as small nucleolar RNA, H/ACA box 20. The record is from Ensembl. NCBI's taxonomy places the organism in Eukaryota, Metazoa, Chordata, Mammalia, Carnivora, Ursidae.
CUUCCCAUUGAUUUGCUGCUCUAGUCUUCCGGUGCUAGGAGCGGUUAUACGCAUGGGAGAGAACAACGUUAGGCCGUGGUAGAUGGAGAUGAGUGACCGUCUCAUCGCUCCUGCGCGGCCCGGACACUG